This 229-nucleotide ribosomal RNA is filed under the name uncultured bacterium. RNAcentral describes it as "partial 16S ribosomal RNA". It matches the Rfam family "Bacterial small subunit ribosomal RNA", at positions 109 to 339 of the family's 1533-position model. The record is from RNAcentral.
AGUAACACGUGAGAAAUCUGCCCCUGACUCUGGGAUAACUGCGGGAAACUGUAGCUAAUACCGGAUACUUUCCCUGGUGGGCAUCCACUGGGGAAGAAAGAAUUUCGGUCAGGGAGGAUCUCGCGGCCUAUCAGCUAGUUGGUGAGGUAACGGCUCACCAAGGCGACGACGGGUAACCGGCCUGAGAGGGUGACCGGUCACACUGGGACUGAGACACGGCCCAGACUCC